CGUGCACUCCUGCGGGAGGCAGCAGUGGGGAAUAUUGGACAAUGGGCGCAAGCCUGAUCCAGCCAUGCCGCGUGAGUGAUGAAGGCCCUAGGGUUGUAAAGCUCUUUCACCGGUGAAGAUAAUGACAGUAACCGGAGAAGAAGCCCCGGCUAACUUCGUGCCAGCAGCCGCGGUAAUACGAAGGGGGCUAGCGUUGUUCGGAUUUACUGGGCGUAAAGCGCACGUAGGCGGACUAUUAAGUCAGGGGUGAAAUCCCGGGGCUCAACCCCGGAACUGCCUUUGAUACUGGUAGUCUUGAGUUCGAGAGAGGUGAGUGGAAUUCCGAGUGUAGAGGUGAAACUCGUAGAUAUUCGGAGGAACACCAGUGGCGAAGGCGGCUCACUGGCUCGAUACUGACGCUGAGGUGCGAAAGCGUGGGGAGCAAACAGGAUUAGAUACCCCAGUAGUCCCA
This 451-nucleotide ribosomal RNA is filed under the name uncultured organism. RNAcentral describes it as "partial 16S ribosomal RNA". It matches the Rfam family "Bacterial small subunit ribosomal RNA", at positions 330 to 797 of the family's 1533-position model. The record is from RNAcentral.